GUAAUUUUAAUUCUAAUAGGUUUUAUCCUAUUUCAAAUAAUUCAGACAUAAUGGUUUUAAUAAAGAGUUUUGGUUUGAUUCUUCUGACGGACGAAGUUAAUCAUUCGCCGAAGCAACAGUUUUAAGUUUUGUUUAAUAAACAAGGGUUGGGAUUUCAGCUCUUUGAUUUCUCGCAGAAGCUAAAUUCUCUUUUAAUGAUCCUUCCGCAGGUUCACCUACGGAAA
RNAcentral lists this unclassified non-coding RNA (224 nucleotides) under uncultured fungus. RNAcentral's name for it is "sequence contains ITS1". Lineage: Eukaryota; Fungi. The record is from RNAcentral.